Molecule: ribosomal RNA, 460 nt
Filed under: uncultured bacterium
Lineage: Bacteria
Description: partial 16S ribosomal RNA
Rfam family: Bacterial small subunit ribosomal RNA
Source: RNAcentral
CCUACGGGCGGCAGCAGUGAGGAAUAUUGGUCAAUGGACGCGAGUCUGAACCAGCCAUGCCGCGUGCAGGAUGACUGCCCUAUGGGUUGUAAACUUCUUUUAUACGGGAGUAAAGCGCGACACGUGUGCCGUGUUGUAAGUACCUUAUGAAUAAGGAUCGGCUAACUCCGUGCCAGCAGCCGCGGUAAUACGGAGGAUCCGAGCGUUAUCCGGAUUUAUUGGGUUUAAAGGGUGCGUAGGUGGUUUGUUAAGUUAGUGGUGAAAGUUCGGGGCUCAACCGCAACACUGCAAUUGAUACUGGCGGGCUUGAGUACAGUUGAGGUAGGCGGAAUGUGUGGUGUAGCGGUGAAAUGCUUAGAGAUCACGAAGAACACCGAUUGCGAAGGCAGCUUACUAAACUGCCACUGACAUUGAUGCUCGAAAGCGUGGGUAGCAAACAGGAUUAGAUACCCUGGUAGUC